Molecule: non-coding RNA, 2716 nt
Organism: Lactuca sativa (garden lettuce)
Lineage: Eukaryota; Viridiplantae; Streptophyta; Magnoliopsida; Asterales; Asteraceae
Source: RefSeq, a predicted model, not a curated record
GGAAAACACUUCUAAGGAAUAGUGGGUUUAACUCCUUGACCAUGGUCACCGCUUCAUCUGGAUCCUUCCAAAGAUCGACUUCCUUCCAUCCUUCCUUAUCGCCUUUCAAUCCACCGCCUCAUGCUCUCUCCAUCUGAUCAUGAUGACGCAACCCGAACGAAAUAGAAGAAGAUUUUGGUAAAGGGUGGUCGAGACACCCCCAACGCAUACGACACACCCCUAACGCGGUACCAUGGACCUCCGUUCACCGCCACGUACCACCAUCGUCGUCGAAUUCGGACGAUCAGUCGAUCUUCGACCGCUGCCUUCUUUCUUCCUUCACAGUUCCCGGAAUAGCCCUAAAGUGAUGGAAUAGCCCUAAAGUGAUGUCUACAUGUUAUAUUCGUUCUUCAUCAGCAAAGGAAAUCAGUCUAUUCGCAGAGUUCUCAAGAGGGCAACAGGCGACUGAAUGCUUCAAAUCGAAAUCCCUUCGUGGAACGAAACCCUACGAAGCGUUGUGAUUAUGGAGACAGAGGAGGAAGCAUCUGGACAGAUGACGGACGAGAUCUACACGAAUGGCGUUGACGAUGAGUCGCUGUCGCAGAAGCAACAACGUAGACUGAUUAUCAGUGGCGAGCAACUCGAUAUCGACGCUUACGCCGCUUUAUACACAGGUCGUACUAAAAUUUCGCGCUUGAUAUUCAUCGCUGAAAAAUGUGGCAAUGUUUCGAUGCAGUUAGAGGCGCUUCGAAUGGCUUAUGACGACAUUAAGAAGGGAGAAAACACACAGAUGUUUAGGGAAGUUGUUCAGAAAAAUCGAUGGACGAUUGGGUCCGAAUUACAGUUCGGAUUCGGGUUAGAUGGACGCGGUGGACCGUAGGGCUGACCAGAAGAAGGAGAAACCUAAGAACGAGCUUAAUGCUUACAGGGGUUUUGGUACCUUUCAGGUAGCGUUUCUAGGUGUGUUGGUGCUAUCUUAAUCCUCUAUAAAGGAAUAAAAAAAAGGGUAUUACUGAUCUGUAUCCUAGAAGAAGUAAUAUUGGGUGAUGGAAUUGCAAGAGAAGUGCACCUUACAAUAAAGUGGUGUGUAUUAUUUAUUGUGUCUUAAAAAUGUUUUCCAAAAUAGAAGAUACCGGUAAUUCUUAGUGUUAUUCAUACUUUAUUGAUGGAUACCAUUUAUUUGAACGGUAGAAAAAGGUGUGAAGUUUAUAGAUUGGCUAUAAGUUUUAUUUCGGGAGGGUGUUUUUUUAGAUUUAUGAUAUCAUACUAAAAAUUUUAUCUGUCAUUCAUUGUAAAACUUUUAUCUGCCAUUCAUUGUGCUACAUCAAUCAUUUUUUAAAGAUACGUGUAAGAAUUACUUUCAGAUAAAUUAACUACAAAAAUAAAAGACAAGAAACACAACAUACUUGAUAGUUCUUCCCAAUUUAGUUCACUGUUAUAAAAUAUUGUAAAAAAAAUCUAUUAAGUCUAUUUUUUGUAGUAAUAUGAAGAUGCAUAUUGUAGUUAAAAAAGCUCAUCUUGGACCUGUAAUAGCACUUGCAUUUUCAAAUGAUUAAAGGUUUGUUUAUGUUCUCUAUUUGUUUAUUUAUUUAACUAUUUAUUUAUUUAUUAUUAGUGUUUUUUUUAAAAUUAUAUAAUUUUUUUUUAUAUAAAUAUACAAGGCUUUGGCUUCUGUAUCUCUCACAUGUUAUAAAUCUAACUCAUAGGGCUUCUGGAUUCCCCCGACAAGUCGUUCAUGGUUUUGCUGCUUUACAUGAACACCAAUGUUAUCUCCAAACCGGAUAUCACGAUUACAAAGCCACAAAAACGCAUCUGUUCUCCCAUAUGGUAAAUGCUCUCGCCCGUCUGUUUACCAUUUCUUCUACAUUUGCAGGUUGUUCUACCGGGAAAAUAGAGACAACAACGGUCUGUUCCUCCGAUUCAGCUCUUGCCAACGAUUCAUCCAGUAAAUUGGUUAGACUUUUAAUGGUUGGUUCCAUGUGAUGUUCAUGUGGCUUUUUCGCCUUCAGUCGGUAGUAAAUGGUGAUUGUGGAUUGAUUGAGUUUCAAGUAUGGUUAUUGAGUUUUGGGUAAAUAAACACAACGAUGGGACCAUUUGUUUGUGCAAAGUCUAAUUUAGGGUAAUCUUAUCAACAACCAAUUCAGUUUUUUUUGUUUCUUAAAUUCUUUUUAUUGAUUUGAUUAUUAUGUUUUAAGGGUUUUUGCUAUGAGCUUGACUUUGAUGCACGAAUAAUUCAACUAUUUUUUAAGAAACAAGGCUUUAAUGCAGCGUAUGUCCUAUGUCGUGUGAUUUCCGUAACUGAAGAUGUGCCGUACAGAAUCCAAUUGAUUCAAGGCAACUUUUAAAGGCACAAUAAGCUAUUAAAUUGAUCUCCUACACUAAUUGAAUCAAAGCCUUGAUAAAUGGCAGUGGAGCAAAACCAUAUUUCUGUUUCACUUUUGUUUGUAAAUCUAUUUUCUUUAUAUUUAAAAAAAUAUUUUUAUAACUUUUGUUUUUGCAUUUAGAUGACAUUUUUCAUUGUUAAUGAAAUCGAAGAAGACAGUGGAGGGAUGGGGUAAGUAUGAAGAUGUUCUUUCUAUAUUUAUUGUAGAUUGCAUUGUACUUUCAUUUAAAACUACCUGGAAAUAAGAUUGUAUUUUUAUUGUUUUCAAAAACCUAUUCAAAUAUAGCAUUGUACUUCUUUUGGUAGACGGAAAAUUACACUUCCAUUUAAAAUCUAUCAUUACAUUUCCAUUCA